This 30-nucleotide small RNA is filed under the name Bombyx mori (domestic silkworm). RNAcentral's name for it is "piRNA piR-bmo-1678569". Lineage: Eukaryota; Metazoa; Arthropoda; Insecta; Lepidoptera; Bombycidae. The record is from RNAcentral.
CGGGAGACCGGGGUUCGAUUCCCCGCCGGA